GGGUUCGAUUCCGGAGAGGGAGCCUGAGAAACGGCUACCACNUCNNNNNNNGGCAGCAGGCGCGCAAAUUACCCAAUCCCGACACGGGGAGGUAGUGACAAUAAAUAACAAUACGGGGCUCUUUCGGGUCUCGUAAUUGGAAUGAGUACAAUUUAAAUCCCUUAACGAGGAACAAUUGGAGGGCAAGUCUGGUGCCAGCAGCCGCGGUAAUUCCAGCUCCAAUAGCGUAUAUUAAAGUUGUUGCAGUUAAAAAGCUCGUAGUUGAAUUUCGGGAUUGACACAUCGGUCGUGCCUUAAGGGGUAUGAACUGGUGUAGUCAAUUUCUCACCUUCUGGAGAACCGCGAUGCCCUUAAUUGGGUGUCACGGGGAACCAGGACCUUUACUUUGAAAAAAUUAGAGUGUUUAAAGCAGGCAUUUUGCUUGAAUACAUUAGCAUGGAAUAAUAAAAUAGGACGGCAUGAUUCUAUUUUGUUGGUUUCUAGGAUCACCGUAAUGAUUAAUAGGGAUAGUUGGGGGCAUUAGUAUUCAAUUGUCAGAGGUGAAAUUCUUGGAUUUAUUGAAGACUAACUACUGCGAAAGCAUUUGCCAAGGAUGUUUUCNUUAAUCAAGAACGAAAGUUAGGGGAUCGAA
Molecule: ribosomal RNA, 631 nt
Filed under: uncultured Glomeromycotina
Lineage: Eukaryota; Fungi; Glomeromycota
Description: SSU rRNA
Rfam family: Eukaryotic small subunit ribosomal RNA
Source: RNAcentral